UUCUGGCUCAGAACGAACGCUGGCAGCGUGGAUUAGGCAUGCAAGUCGAACGGGAUCGGGAAGGUAGCAAGUAUCGGCCCGUGAGAGUGGCGGAAGGGCGAGGAACACGUGAGCAACCUGUCCUUGAGGUGGGGAAAACCGUUGGAAACGACGGCUAAUACCGAAUGCGGCGCCGGGAGACAUCUUCCGAGCGCUAAAGGGGGCCGCAAGGCUCCCCCUCUUCGAGGGGCUCGCGCACCAUCAGCUUGUUGGCGGGGUAACGGCCCACCAAGGCUCACGGUUAGCUGGUCUGAGAGGAUGGCCAGCCGCACUGGGACUGAGAUACUGCCCAGACUCCUACGGGAGGCUGCAGUCGGGGAUCAUUCGCAAUGGGGGAAACCCUGACGAUGCGACGCUGCGUGGAGGAUGAAGGCCCUCGGGUCGUAAACUCCUGUCAUGAGGGAAAAGGCGAGGGGACCCAACACGUCCCUUAGUUGAUGGUACCUCAAGAGGAACGGGCGGCUAACUCUGUGCCAGCCGCCGC
Molecule: ribosomal RNA, 523 nt
Filed under: uncultured bacterium
Lineage: Bacteria
Description: bacterial SSU rRNA
Rfam family: Bacterial small subunit ribosomal RNA
Source: RNAcentral